RNAcentral lists this ribosomal RNA (424 nucleotides) under uncultured prokaryote. RNAcentral's name for it is "bacterial SSU rRNA". It matches the Rfam family "Bacterial small subunit ribosomal RNA", at positions 355 to 796 of the family's 1533-position model. The record is from RNAcentral.
UCGGGAAUUUUGGGCAAUGGGGGAAACCUUGACCCAGCAACGCCGCGUGAAGGAUGAAGUCUUUCGGGAUGUAAACUUCGAAAAUAUGGGAAGAAUAAAUGACGGUACCAUAUAUAAGCUCCGGCUAACUACGUGCCAGCAGCCGCGGUAAUACGUAGGGGGCAAGCGUUGUUCGGAUUUACUGGGCGUAAAGGGUGCGUAGGCGGCGUGGCAAGUCACUUGUGAAAUCUCCGGGCUUAACUCGGAACGGCCAAGUGAAACUGCCAUGCUAGAGUGCAGGAAGGGCAACUGGAAUUCUUGGUGUAGCGGUGAAAUGCGUAGAUAUCAAGAGGAACACCUGAGGCGAAGGCGAGUUGCUAGACUGACACUGACGCUCAGGCACGAAAGCCAGGGGAGCGAACGGGAUUAGAUACCCCCGUAGUCC